RNAcentral lists this long non-coding RNA (530 nucleotides) under Dasypus novemcinctus (nine-banded armadillo). RNAcentral describes it as "lncRNA (ENSDNOG00000052329.1)". Lineage: Eukaryota; Metazoa; Chordata; Mammalia; Cingulata; Dasypodidae. The record is from RNAcentral.
UGAUGCUUAGGGGCAGGCUGCAGACUUAGGCCGUUGGAAGCUGUUGGCGGUCGUUGUCGCUCUUCAGGUGCUCGGCCGCCUGGAGCUCUGUGGCCUGGGGGUGUUUGUGGAGGGUGUUAGUCCUGUGCACUGACGGGGGACUGACCCCUCUGCUGAGUUUCUGACUCUUUAAUCCACUGAACCUCCCCACGCUCUUGGCUGGAGUAGGAGGUGGUGGAUUUGUGUGCGGUGGACCCAGGGGAACUUCAGAUCACAGAUUUGAGGCCCCUAGUCAGCUGGACUUUACCAGUCAAUGGGACAAAGUUUUGGUUUUAUGUUCACGAGACAUAUUAAGUACCUUCUGUGGACAAGGUGGUUGGAGAUAUCCAGGUGUGCACCUUUUCUUCAGCCAGUAUCCCGUGUUGAUGCUACUGUCCUGACAAAGCCUGUGGGAUGCAGAUAUUUUGAUCAGGGAACUCCUCUGUGUUUUCUGUUCUUGUGAGAAAAGAACCUCAGAAAUGUAUGUAUACUAGAGAGAGCUUUUGAAAUCU